This 423-nucleotide ribosomal RNA is filed under the name uncultured bacterium. RNAcentral describes it as "bacterial SSU rRNA". It matches the Rfam family "Bacterial small subunit ribosomal RNA", at positions 356 to 776 of the family's 1533-position model. The record is from RNAcentral.
GAGGAAUAUUGGACAAUGGAGGCAACUCUGAUCCAGCCAUGCCGCGUGCAGGAAGACUGCCCUAUGGGUUGUAAACUGCUUUUAUACGGGAAGAAACACCCCUACGUGUAGGGACUUGACGGUACCGUAAGAAUAAGCAUCGGCUAACUCCGUGCCAGCAGCCGCGGUAAUACGGAGGAUGCAAGCGUUAUCCGGAAUCAUUGGGUUUAAAGGGUCCGUAGGCGGGCGAUUAAGUCAGAGGUGAAAGUUUGCGGCUCAACCGUAAAAUUGCCUUUGAUACUGGUUGUCUUGAAUCAUUGUGAAGUGGUUAGAAUAUGUAGUGUAGCGGUGAAAUGCAUAGAGAUUACAUAGAAUACCAAUUGCGAAGGCAGAUCACUAACAAUGUAUUGACGCUGAGGGACGAAAGCGUGGGGAGCGAACAGG